UGAGUUAGGAUUUAAGAUUUGAUUAAGAUUUGGUUAGAAUUUAGGAUUGGACUAGGUUUUUGGAUUUGAUUUAAGGUUUUUUUAGGAUUUAAGAUUUGGCCUAAGUUUAAUUCAAGUUCAUUAGAGUUUUAAUUAGGAUUAAAUUAGAAUUUAGUUAAGAUUUAUUUAAAAUAUAUUUUUUAUUAUUCUAAUAUUUCUUUAGGAUUUCUUACGGAUUCUUUUAAGGUUUAUUAUGGAUUUCUUUUGAAUAUUCUUAAGAUUUUUUAUUGUUUCUUUUUUAGUUUCUUAAAGUUUUUUUCUUAGUUUGAUUAAAGCUUGCUUAACAUUGUUAAGGUUUAAUUAGAAUUUAUUUAAUAUUCUAUUAGAAUUAUAAAUUUUUUAUUACAAUUUCCAUUCUAUCUUCUACAAUCAAGUGCUGUGUACAUUCUUGAGCAAGACUUUAAUUAAUAUGACAAUAUGAUCAAGAGGAACUAGAAAUUAGACAUGCCAUAAAUGUAUGGCGACACUAUCCAUUAAAGAAGCCGAUAACUAUAUGGACUAACUAUAGGCUCUUGCUACAUGAUUUC
RNAcentral lists this long non-coding RNA (566 nucleotides) under Physcomitrium patens. RNAcentral's name for it is "long non-coding RNA (PPAT_LNC008486)". The record is from RNAcentral. Lineage: Eukaryota; Viridiplantae; Streptophyta; Bryopsida; Funariales; Funariaceae.